AAAAGUGUAUUUCAUUUAAAUAGAAUACUAAUUUGAUACGAAUAAGUUAAUUUUUAUUCAUAAUUUUAAUUUUGAAAACGUGUUCAUUCCGCCUGAAAAUUAAUUACUAUCUUGGACGCUCCCAAAAUCAUGAAACGAAGCUCAGUGCCGUCAACGCGAAUAUCAACAAACACAGCACAAACGAAAAACAGAAUGUGAAAAACAAGUUAGAACCAGAGAAGAAAAACAUCAAAAUGGACUCAGAAUAACAUUUUGAUAAAUCGUGGUGAGAGUGUUCUACAAGUGGCUGACGAAACGGGCCUUCCACGGUCGACAGUUUACGGAAUCGAGAAGCAAGAAAUAGCAUUGCGGUAUUGCAAGGCGUUGGUCAACUAAACUAUCCCCUGCUUUCGAGAUAAUAAUAGGAAAUAUAAAGGUAGAGAAACCAGAUGCCGAAAUCGACACAACUAUCGUUAAGGAAGAAUAUGAUGUGAAACUUAAAAAUACGAAUGCAAUCACUCAGCCCAUGGCGCCGAAGAAAUUAACCAAGAACAUUCAUAAACUUAUCAAAAAAGCAUCAAAACACAAAUCUUAUUUACGAUAUGGAUUAAAGGAUGUUCAAGUGCGUCCGCGGAAUAAUGAAACAGGGAAAGCAAUGUGUAUAUUGUGUGUUGAAAUGGAGGAUUGUCAUUUUCGCUGCAGAAAAGUGGAAAUCAUGUGUCACUUGCCAUCUGUUUGUGAGAAACGCAAUAUCCCAUAUUGCUAUACGCCGAGUCGGAAGACUUGGGAGCAGCAGUGGGUGUGAAAUGAGGCACAGUCGCAAUACUAAUCCGAGAGCAGCCCGAUUAUCAGGAAAGGUUCGAUAAACUAAAAGUGAAGAAUCAAUGCCGUCAACACGAAUAUACCAUUGUGCGAGUUUUUACAACACGAUAAA
Toxorhynchites rutilus septentrionalis is the source of this 913-nucleotide long non-coding RNA. RefSeq lists it as uncharacterized. Lineage: Eukaryota; Metazoa; Arthropoda; Insecta; Diptera; Culicidae. The transcript has 3 exons. The record is from RefSeq and is a predicted model, not a curated record.